This is a long non-coding RNA of Falco peregrinus (peregrine falcon), 707 nucleotides long. RefSeq lists it as uncharacterized. The transcript is spliced from 3 exons. NCBI's taxonomy places the organism in Eukaryota, Metazoa, Chordata, Aves, Falconiformes, Falconidae. The record is from RefSeq and is a predicted model, not a curated record.
GGGCAGCCCUCCGCAGGGGGCGAACCCGGGGGCUGCGCUGCGGCUCCGCACUCGCGGCUCCGCCUCAGCCGCAGGCAGCCCCCGCAGAGCCGCCCCCGGCCCCGCACCGCGCCGCGCCGCAGGCAGCCCCCCGGCGCCCCGGGAAGCGUUGCGGACCGACGGCUUGCACGUAGGUGGUCAGCAGAAGGCAGCUCUGCGCCUUAAGUGGCAACGUAGAGAAAAGAUGUGAGGGUCUGCAGCGAAGCACAGCAGAGGGUCCGGAGGACAGAGCGUGUUGCAGGCGCUUGGCAGCACACGGCCUCGGGAGGGGGAACAGACGCCAUGGGUCAAGCUGGGGCAUAAGGUUGAGAACGAAAAAAGCAAACAAAGAUGUUCAAAAGUGCAGGCCGUGGCAAAACAGGAAUGUGUGGAUAAAUUAAAUAACAUCACUAAUCGGCAAAUGAAACAAAAGAUUACUGUAAGGAAGAAUGACUGUUUGAAAAUGGAGAAUGAAAACACGAUAGAAGAAAAAGACAAAAAGAGUUUUUCAUCUGGGGAGAGCUCAAAAUUGAUUAAAAUGCCAAUGAAAUGUAAAAUUGCCCUGAAUGCCAAAGUUGCAAACAAAAGUAAAAGACAGCCUUCAAAGCAGAGGGCUCAUCAGCAGAUGAGCUCUUCCAGUGGCAAUCAUGGUCAAGUACCGGAUGAUAGCACUUCCAGUGAAACAUCUG